AUUGAACGCUGGCGGCAUGCCUUACACGUGCAAGUCGGACGGCAGCACGGGAGCAAUCCUGGUGGCGAGUGGCGAACGGGUGAGUAAUGCAUCGGAACGUGCCCAGUCGUGGGGGAUAACGUAGCGAAAGCUACGCUAAUACCGCAUACGAUCUAUGGAUGAAAGCAGGGGAUCGCAAGACCUCGCGCGGUUGGAGCGGCCGAUAUCAGAUUAGGUAGUUGGUGGGGUAAAGGCCCACCAAGCCUGCGAUCUGUAGCUGGUCUGAGAGGACGACCAGCCACACUGGAACUGAGACACGGUCCAGACUCCUACGGGAGGCAGCAGUGGGGAAUUUUGGACAAUGGGCGCAAGCCUGAUCCAGCAAUGCCGCGUGCAGGAUGAAGGCCUUCGGGUUGUAAACUGCUUUUGUACGGAACGAAACGGCUUUUUCUAAUACAGAGAGCUAAUGACGGUACCGUAAGAAUAAGCACCGGCUAACUACGUGCCAGCCGCCGCGGUAA
Molecule: ribosomal RNA, 500 nt
Filed under: uncultured bacterium
Lineage: Bacteria
Description: partial 16S ribosomal RNA
Rfam family: Bacterial small subunit ribosomal RNA
Source: RNAcentral